This 160-nucleotide ribosomal RNA is filed under the name uncultured bacterium. RNAcentral describes it as "partial 16S ribosomal RNA". It matches the Rfam family "Bacterial small subunit ribosomal RNA", at positions 355 to 507 of the family's 1533-position model. The record is from RNAcentral.
UAGGGAAUCUUCCGCAAUGGACGAAAGUCUGACGGAGCAACGCCGCGUGAGUGAUGAAAGCUUUCGGGUCGUAAAACUCUGUUGUUAGGGAAGAACAAGUACAAGAGUAACUGCUUGUACCUUGACGGUACCUAACCAGAAAGCCACGGCUAACUACGUG